UGCUCACUGCAAACAAUAUCCUGCUCAGCAUUUUUACCCACAUCUGAAAAAUGUCCCUCUGUUUGUUGCGUUGUCAAUCCAUCAUCUGUCUUGUACCGGUCAACCUGCCCCUCACUGUCAUCCUUUGCAGUUGCAACUUUUUUAGCUACUUCCCCUAUCAAACUGCUGACCACGCAGUCUAAAAUUUCAUUUGCCAUAACCCGGAGUUGAUCUUCUGGUACCUUUUGCUGAUUCUGAUCACCAUCUGAAUUUUUAUUUGGAUCAACAUCCAUUCCCUCUCCGCCUACACCAGUCUGUGAUUUAUUUUGUCCACUUUUUGACUUUUUUCUUGUGCCAUUGUUGUUAUCUUUGUGGCCAUCAUCACCCAAAGCAUCAUCAUCG
Molecule: long non-coding RNA, 381 nt
Filed under: Setaria viridis
Lineage: Eukaryota; Viridiplantae; Streptophyta; Magnoliopsida; Poales; Poaceae
Description: long non-coding RNA (SVIR_LNC007250)
Source: RNAcentral